This 363-nucleotide unclassified non-coding RNA is filed under the name uncultured bacterium. RNAcentral describes it as "contains 16S-23S intergenic spacer region". The record is from RNAcentral.
UCCCGGUUGCCCGGGCGGUCUCGCGUGAAAAAUUUAACACACGACAAGGGUUGCGCUCGUUGCGGGACUUAACCCAACAUCUCACGACACGAGCUGACGACGGCCAUGCAGCACCUGUCACCAGGUUCCCGAAGGCACAGCACUGUUUCCAGCGCCUUCCUGGGAUGUCAAGCCUUGGUAAGGUUCUACGCGUAGCAUCGAAUUAAACCACAUCAUCCACUGCUUGUGCGGGUCCCCGUCAAUUCCUUUGAGUUUUAAGCUUGCGCUCGUACUCCCCAGGCGGGAUGCUUAACGCGUUAGCUUCUCAGCACAGAGGGUCGAUACUCCAUACUAAUAGCAUCCAUCGUUUACGGCGUGGACUAC